RNAcentral lists this ribosomal RNA (586 nucleotides) under uncultured Glomus. RNAcentral's name for it is "SSU rRNA". It matches the Rfam family "Eukaryotic small subunit ribosomal RNA", at positions 624 to 1213 of the family's 1831-position model. Lineage: Eukaryota; Fungi; Glomeromycota; Glomeromycetes; Glomerales; Glomeraceae. The record is from RNAcentral.
AAGCUCGUAGUUGAAUUUCGGGAUUAGUGCGCCGGUCGUGCCUUCGGUAUGUACUGGUGUUACUGGUUCCUACCUUCUGACGAACCGUCAUGUCAUUAAUUUGGUGUGGCGGGGAAUCAGGACUGUUACUUUGAAAAAAUUAGAGUGUUUAAAGCAGGCUCGCGCUUGAAUACAUUAGCAUGGAAUAAUGAAAUAGGACGUUCGAUCCUAUUUUGUUGGUUUCUAGGAUUGACGUAAUGAUUAAUAGGGAUAGUUGGGGGCAUUAGUAUUCAAUUGUCAGAGGUGAAAUUCUUGGAUUUAUUGAGGACUAACUACUGCGAAAGCACUUGCCAAGGAUGUUUUCAUUAAUCAAGAACGAAAGUUAGGGGAUCGAAGACGAUCAGAUACCGUCGUAGUCUUAACCAUAAACUAUGCCGACUAGGGAUCGGAUGAUGUUAUUUUUAAUGACUCAUUCGGCGCCUUACGGGAAACCAAAGUGUUUGGGUUCCGGGGGGAGUAUGGUCGCAAGGCUGAAACUUAAAGGAAUUGACGGAAGGGCACCACCAGGGGUGGAGCCUGCGGCUUAAUUUGACUCAACACGGGGAAU